Molecule: transfer RNA, 78 nt
Filed under: Streptomyces phage Shawty
Lineage: Duplodnaviria; Heunggongvirae; Uroviricota; Caudoviricetes; Colingsworthviridae
Description: tRNA-Asp
Rfam family: tRNA
About the family: Transfer RNA (tRNA) molecules are approximately 80 nucleotides in length. Their secondary structure includes four short double-helical elements and three loops (D, anti-codon, and T loops).
Source: RNAcentral
UGCUUCGUUCGCCCAGUGGUUAGGGCACUGCCUUGUCAUGGCAGGGGUCACGGGUUCGAAUCCCGUACGAAGCGCAGC